UACGUAGGGGGCAAGCGUUGUCCGGAUUUAUUGGGCGUAAAGAGCGUGUAGGCGGUUUGGUAGGUCCGCUGUGAGAACUCGAGGCUCAACCUCGAGACGCCGGUGGAAACCAUCAGGCUAGAGUCCGGAAGAGGAGAGUGGAAUUCCUGGUGUAGCGGUGAAAUGCGCAGAUAUCAGGAAGAACACCCGUGGCUAAGGCGGCUCUCUAGUACGGUACUGACGCUGAGACGCGAAAGCGUGGGGAGCGAACAGG
RNAcentral lists this ribosomal RNA (253 nucleotides) under uncultured bacterium. Its description in RNAcentral is "partial 16S ribosomal RNA". It matches the Rfam family "Bacterial small subunit ribosomal RNA", at positions 524 to 776 of the family's 1533-position model. The record is from RNAcentral.